Molecule: unclassified non-coding RNA, 409 nt
Filed under: Hevea brasiliensis (rubber tree)
Lineage: Eukaryota; Viridiplantae; Streptophyta; Magnoliopsida; Malpighiales; Euphorbiaceae
Source: RNAcentral
CGCCACCUCCCCCAAUUCAUUCUUUCUCCUCGCAUACUGACAGACGCAGCCUCCAUUUCAUUUUUCAGUCUUGGUCUCAACAUCUCUCUUUCUUGCUCUCCUCGUGGCCGUCCUCUCGUCUGCUUCUUGCCUUUCACGUCAGCUCGUCGCCUUCCUCAUCAGCUCGUCGUCCAUGUACUUGUCCUCGUCGAUUAUGUCUCAGAGACCCAAAUUCACUAUCGAUCCGGCCUCUGGCUUAUAGUUAGUGUCGGCUUGCACUUUGCGACGAAAACAGAUCGACUUUGCAACAAAUAUUAGACUUCCUUCUCCUUGCAUGUUGGCCUGUUGGGUUUUGAAUUUUUUGUUCAUUCUGUUCAUUAUUAGAUUGUUUAGUUUGUUGCUUGUUAAUUGAUAUGAAAGUGUCUCUGAG